Molecule: ribosomal RNA, 468 nt
Filed under: uncultured bacterium
Lineage: Bacteria
Description: partial 16S ribosomal RNA
Rfam family: Bacterial small subunit ribosomal RNA
Source: RNAcentral
GACGAACGCUGGCGGCGUGCUUAACACAUGCAAGUCGAACGGAAAGGCCCUGCUUUUGUGGGGUGCUCGCGUGGCGAACGGGUGAGUAACACGUGAGUAACCUGCCCUUGACUUUGGGAUAACUUCAGGAAACUGGGGCUAAUACCGGAUAGGAGCUCCUGCUGCAUGGUGGGGGUUGGAAAGUUUCGGCGGUUGGGGAUAGACUUGCGGCUUAUUAGCUUGUUGGUGGGGUAGUGGCUUACCAAGGCUUCGACGGGUAGUCGGCCUGGGAGGGGGACCAGCCACAUGAGGACUGAGGGACGGCCCAGACUCCUACGGGGGACAACGGUGGAGAAUAUUGCACAAUGGUCGGAAGCCUGAUGCAGCAGCGCCGCGUGCGGGAUGACGGCCUUCGGGUGGUAAACCGCUUUCGCCUGUGACGAAGCGUGAGUGACGGUAAUAGGUAAAGAAGCACCGGCUAACUACGUG